Molecule: long non-coding RNA, 1326 nt
Filed under: Homo sapiens (human)
Lineage: Eukaryota; Metazoa; Chordata; Mammalia; Primates; Hominidae
Description: non-protein coding LINC01102:21
Source: RNAcentral
AUAUGCAAAGCAUGCAUCAGCCACAUCCAUGCUAUCUCCUAAAGCAGUCAUUCUGAAACCCAAUCUGGGGACAGUGCAGACUAAAUAAAAUUUCAUUUUGAUUUGGCCUCCCGCUGCGAAUGGGACUGCUUUGUCUCAGCCGACAGAACCAGCAAGCCAGAAAGGGAAUGAAGACAUUUGGAGAAGAAGCGUUUACUGAAAGGAGAUUCCUGGGCUGGAGGAAAACCAUGAUCUACAGUUCAUGUUGACAGAUAUUGUAUUUUUGGUCCUAGAUCUGACUUUUGAAAUGACUUAUCACAAAUUCAAAUUUAGCAAUCAUGAGUGAAGUACCCACGAUGUGCUAAGCAUCUACCUCUGCAGAUAGAAGAACACUUACUGUUCCUGAGCAUGGGAGGGAAUAGAAGUUCCUGGGUCCUGGCCUCACCUCAUCAGACGAGGGAACUGAGCUGUCAAAACUAAGUGACUUGAUUGAGGCCAUGCAGCUGGCGAGGGGAGGACCAGGAUCUGAACCCAACUGGGUCUCCCAAGCCUGGGCCACUGAACCAUUUCACCUCUUGGAAAAACUUAAUGGUCAGAGUGGCCCACCCAGUCCAUGGACAGCAUGGAGGAUAAACUGCUUCCCUAGAAAUCCUCUCCAGCAUUCUUGCCACCACGACUUUGGGACACAUUGACCAUGAGGAGGAGCUGGUCAAUGAUGGACAGGAGUCCAGAUUAGCAGAGAUGUGGUAAUAAGGACACCGAUGCCUAAAUACUUGAAAUAUCCAAUAGGAAGCAUUCCACCUUUGUGCAAAUGCGAACCACAUCUCACCAAGUUCAGGCCAAGGCUGCCACCGGUGACGUUUUGGAAAAGAAAAAAAAAAGCGGGGGGAGAGGAGAGAAACAGAGAAGCAAGGAAUGCAGAAGAGAGCAGAGGCCACAAAAACAGCAGCAACGUGUCCUGUGUAUUCUGUUUCCUUGUAAAACUAUGAAGCAUGUUAAGGAGAUACUUCAUUUUUUGAGGAUUCAUACUCUUGUUUAUAUUAUAAUAAAAACAACCCAUGUUCUUUCUAAAAAUUUAGGCAAUGCCUUCGUGCACAUAAAAGUAAAACAAAAUCACCUGUAAUCCUACCACACGCAGAUCAGCACUUGCUAAUCUUUUCACAGGGAUCCUAAGAAUAUCCUAUUCUCUAUAGAAUAUAGUUGAUUUAUGUUACCUAAUAACUAACUGUUAACCAUUUUAAAAUUCUUCAGUUUUACAUUAUGCUAGAAAAAAGGAGCCGUCACUCUACGUGACAUUUCUGUAUAUUGGUUUAUUCAUUCAAUAAACAUUUUUUAAGUACCUACUAU